Molecule: long non-coding RNA, 2609 nt
Filed under: Homo sapiens (human)
Lineage: Eukaryota; Metazoa; Chordata; Mammalia; Primates; Hominidae
Description: HSALNT0391308
Source: RNAcentral
GCUGACGCCAUUGUAGACCUCAGCCCGUCUGUACCCAGGCGCUCAUUAGAACAGCGUGUUGCUCCACACCGCCUUGUGGUGUUUGUUACCGCGCUCUUGGGGUUCGAACCGAUACAGCAGGCUUGCAGCUAUUUCAUUGGUUUAAACUUUUAUUUUUUUAUUGCAAAUGAAAAUUACUAUCAACUAUCAUUACAAAGCUGUAGAAUAUGAAGUUCGAAGGAAAACGCUGAAUCAGUAUACAAAAGCGUCUCAAUCAGACUCAUCCAUUUUGAAGCAAUUCCUCUGCCAUUUUGCCACCUCCUCUCAAAUUCAGCGACUUACCAGGUAAACUCCUCUUGUAGAUUGCUCUUCAAAGGUAAGCUCAUGCCGAGGGUACAACACAGUGGUUAAGACACUGGUGAUAAAACUGGAUCUUUCCUCUAGCAUCUACUUAACAUGAUAUGUUAAUAUGAAGUGUGUGCUUUGUAUACUUUGAGAUGCACCACAAAAAAGGUCUAAAAUUUCUUCAGAAAACACAAUUCUGAAUGUCUGUGGUGUUUGAGGUAAUGAGUGCCUUCUUUACCAUGUAAAGGACCUGAGGUAGUUAACACAUGAAGUCAUCAUUAUUCAAGUUGCUUUCCUGACAACUAUAAGAUGAGAUAAGUUUUGGUGGAAAUUUGAGAGCUGAUGGGGUGGAGAGUAGAAGAGAUGGCCUAAUUCUGUAUGCAGGUCAUUGCCUUUGAAGACAGGCUUAGGUGGAGCUCUGAGGGAGGAGGAGGAGGAGACGGGAGGAUGGGACCCAGGGUAGAUGAAGAGUAGGCCGGUAGAGGAAGGUGCAGUUGGUUGGUACAUAUGGGUGGGCUUUGGGUGCUGAGGAGCAGAGAGAGAGAGGUAUUAAGAGUUAGGACAAUGCCAGGCCAAAUUAGUCUAUGUGGCUAUUUUGCUCAAAAACCUGUUUUACAACUUCUUGCCCUUGCCGUAGAAUUAUGCAGGAGCCUGAGGCCUGGAAUCCUCCUAAGACAUUCAGACCCGCUUAGGUGGAGCUCUUCAUUCGGCCACUGAACUCUUGCUUUACCCAGAACCUACUAGAUAACUGUCCACGCUUCUCCAAAUACUCCCUGACUCUCUAACUUCAGUUUCUCCUUUGGUGACAAGUCAAUGGCAUUCUCAGCUUCCCUUCUCAUCCCCAGAGCAGGGUGUCCUACACCUUUUCUUCCCUUUCUGAUCUCUUCUCCCUCUCAGCUCUAACCCCUAACCCUAAUCCUCCAUUUUGGUGAAUGUGGAUUUUACCCCUCUCCUGAUAUAACUUUACAAUUUAUCCUCCUGAAUCAAUUUAAGAAAACCUUGUGCCAGUUUACUAUAGAAAGGGGUUAUAAUAUGUUAUGAGCAAACAACUAAAUGAAAGCUGGAGCUGGGAAGAAAUCCAGUGUAUCAGCAUCACUAGUAACGUUAUCUGGAGAUCCUGUUUCUAGCCCAGUUUUUCCUUAAGUAGUAUCUACAUCUGAUUAUAAAUCCUACCUCUCCCCAAAUGCUGUUUUAUAAAGAAGUAGAAGAAAUGUAGAAUCUGGGAUUACGUUUCUCCAUGGUUCUGGAUGUCAGGAUUGCACCAAAACAAUAUAAAUUAUAAUUUUAAGUUACCGAGUUUAGAAAUCAAAUUCCCUUAAUAUUAGGUUGGUGCAAAACUUAAAAUCACAAUGAUUUUGCACCAAUCUAAUAAAUAGUCUAAAAUAAAAUGGUUUUCGGUAUUGCAGAGAGGGCCCGAAUCAGGAGGCGGACCCCAGUUCCAGGUCUGCCCUCAACUUCCUGGGCAUCUUGUGGAAAUAACUUUUCUCUGAGCCUCAUGGUACUAAUUCAUGAAAUAAGGUUAUGAUACCUAUGUCACCAAAGUACUGUGAAGUUUGAAUGAGAUAAUGAAUGGGAAGCCACCUUUUAAUGUGCCAGGCACACAAGAGUCAUUCAAUAAUUAUUGUUUGAAUCUGAACCCCAUUGUCAAAGGCAUUCAAACCAGGGGGACUCCAUCUUGGAGUAGGAGCUGGGUAAAAUGAAGCUCAGACCUGCUGGGUUUUAUUCCCCAGGAGGUUAGGCAUUCUUAGUUAACAGGAUAUUUACAGUUAAGAGAAUAAGUUAAUCGUGUUUACUGAACAGACCUACGACCUAACAGACCCAGGAAAUGUCCUGAUGUCCUGAUAUCUUAAGAACAAAAGCAUUCUUAAACUAAGAAUCAGUUUCACUUUAAAGAUAAUAAUAUAAAUUCUUGCAGAAGACUGUAGUUACACAAGAAUUAACAAUUAUUUGUCAAAAGCUCUUGUAGUAAAGCACAUCUCCCCCAUGAUUUUUUUGCUUUGUUAUCUUAUAUAUAUAAAAGCAUUGCACCCAAGGUGGGCAUGUUCCUCCUCUUGCUUUUGGGAAUGCUCUGCCCCGUCUAUAGAGUAGCUAUUCUUUAUUCUUUCAUUCCUCUGUUUUCUAUUUUUCUUUUUUUUUUUGAGACGGAAACUUGCUCUGCCUCCAGGCUGGAGCACAGUGGUGCGAUCUCGGCUCACUGCAACCUCUACCUCCCGGGUUCAAGCAAUUCUCCUGCCUCAGCCUCCCGAGUAGCUGAGACUACAAGUGCCUGCCAGCACGCCCAGCUA